RNAcentral lists this transfer RNA (70 nucleotides) under Tarentola mauritanica (Moorish gecko). RNAcentral's name for it is "tRNA-Tyr". It matches the Rfam family "tRNA". Rfam says of the family: Transfer RNA (tRNA) molecules are approximately 80 nucleotides in length. Lineage: Eukaryota; Metazoa; Chordata; Lepidosauria; Squamata; Phyllodactylidae. The record is from RNAcentral.
GGUAGAGUGGCCGAGGGGAAGGCUAUGAGUUGUAGCCUCACUUACACAGGUUUAAAUCCUGUCACUACCU